CCUACGGGUGGCAGCAGUGAGGAAUAUUGGUCAAUGGCCGGAAGGCUGAACCAGCCAAGCCGCGUGAAGGACGAAGGUGCCAAGCAUUGUAAACUUCUUUUGUCAAGGGACAAAAUCAGGCUCGAGAGCCUGACCGCGGGUACUUGAAGAAAAAGCAUCGGCUAACUCCGCGCCAGCCGCCGCGGUAAUACGGGGGAUGCGAGCGUUAUCCGGAUUUAUUGGGUUUAAUGGGUGCGUAGGCGGGCGGUUAAGUCAGCGGUAAAAGCCCGGGGCUCAACCCCGGCGAGCCGUUGAAACUGGCUGUCUUGAGAUGUCGAGAGGUAUGCGGAAUGCGCAGUGUAGCGGUGGAAUGCUUAGAUAUUGCGCAGAACUCCGAUGGCGAAGGCAGCAGACCGGCGGCGAUCUGACGCUGAGGCACGAAAGCGUGGGUAUCGAACAGGAUUAGAUACCCCAGUAGUC
Molecule: ribosomal RNA, 459 nt
Filed under: uncultured bacterium
Lineage: Bacteria
Description: partial 16S ribosomal RNA
Rfam family: Bacterial small subunit ribosomal RNA
Source: RNAcentral